Molecule: ribosomal RNA, 253 nt
Filed under: uncultured bacterium
Lineage: Bacteria
Description: partial 16S ribosomal RNA
Rfam family: Bacterial small subunit ribosomal RNA
Source: RNAcentral
UACGGAGGGUGCAAGCGUUGUCCGGAUUUAUUGGGUUUAAAGGGUGCGUAGGCGGCCCGUUAAGUCAGCGGUGAAAUCCCAGGGCUCAACCCUGGAACUGCCGUUGAUACUGGCGGGCUUGAGUUCGGUCGAGGCGGGCGGAACUGGUGGUGUAGCGGUGAAAUGCAUAGAUACCACCAAGAACCCCGAUUGCGAAGGCAGCUCGCUGGGCCGAAACUGACGCUGAGGCACGAAAGCGUGGGGAGCGAACAGG